Molecule: transfer RNA, 69 nt
Filed under: Marmota monax (woodchuck)
Lineage: Eukaryota; Metazoa; Chordata; Mammalia; Rodentia; Sciuridae
Description: tRNA.Undet
Source: RNAcentral
GAGGUUGUGGCUCAGUGGUAGAGUGCUUGCCUAGCACCUAGCACCCUGGGUUCCAUCCUCAGCACUACA